UGCCAGCCGCCGCGGUAAUACGUAAGUGGCGAACGUUGUCCGGAAUCACUGGGUGUAAAGCGCGUGUAGGCGGCCUGGUAAGUCCGAGGUGAAAUCCAAGAGCUCAACUCUUGAACUGCCUUGGAAACUGCCAAGCUUGAGGGCCAGAGGGGAAAGUGGAAUUUCGGGUGUAGCGGUGAAAUGCGUAGAUAUCCGAGAGAACACCGAUGGCGAAGGCAGCUUUCUGGCUGGUUCCUGACGCUGAGACGCGAAAGCUAGGGUAGCGAACGGGAUUAGAUA
This 279-nucleotide ribosomal RNA is filed under the name uncultured bacterium. RNAcentral's name for it is "partial 16S ribosomal RNA". It matches the Rfam family "Bacterial small subunit ribosomal RNA", at positions 506 to 784 of the family's 1533-position model. The record is from RNAcentral.